AGUACAAAUAUGAACAUACUUGUGUGUUUCUUUCUGGGCUGUGGGUUACAGUCAAACUGUCUGUAAAGAGGAAUAGUUGCACUGUGGUCCAAGGAAGCCAGGCCUGCUUUUAAACUUUCUCUGACCUUCAUGUUUUCUCUGAGACAAAGGGAUUAAGCCGCUCUUCCAUUGUGAAACUGAGCCCUGCUGGGAUAUGUGACUUUAAAGUCAGUGUGGGUUUUGAGUCUUGUCUUCAGAGACUGCCUGGGAAAUCCC
Molecule: long non-coding RNA, 255 nt
Filed under: Rattus norvegicus (Norway rat)
Lineage: Eukaryota; Metazoa; Chordata; Mammalia; Rodentia; Muridae
Description: long non-coding RNA NONRATT001397
Source: RNAcentral